GAUCCUGGCUCAGGAUGAACGCUAGCUACAGGCUUAACACAUGCAAGUCGAGGGGCAGCAUGGUCUUAGCUUGCUAAGGCCGAUGGCGACCGGCGCACGGGUGAGUAACGCGUAUCCAACCUGCCUUACACUCUUGGACAGCCUUCUGAAAGGGAGAUUAAUACAAGAUGUUAUCAUGAGUAAGCAGUUUUCGCAUUGNUUAAAGGUUUACCGGUGUAAGAUGGGGAUGCGUUCCA
This 236-nucleotide ribosomal RNA is filed under the name uncultured bacterium. Its description in RNAcentral is "partial 16S ribosomal RNA". It matches the Rfam family "Bacterial small subunit ribosomal RNA", at positions 15 to 240 of the family's 1533-position model. The record is from RNAcentral.